UGAUUCGUAGCUCAAUUGGUCAGAGUAUCCGGCUUUUAACCGGAGGGUUCUGGGUUCGAGUCCCAGCGGGUCAA
RNAcentral lists this transfer RNA (74 nucleotides) under Chitinophagaceae bacterium. RNAcentral describes it as "tRNA-Lys". It matches the Rfam family "tRNA". Rfam says of the family: Transfer RNA (tRNA) molecules are approximately 80 nucleotides in length. Their secondary structure includes four short double-helical elements and three loops (D, anti-codon, and T loops). Lineage: Bacteria; Pseudomonadati; Bacteroidota; Chitinophagia; Chitinophagales; Chitinophagaceae. The record is from RNAcentral.